AUCAAGAUAACAUUGCUGACACCUGGAGAUGUUUAUCUUACAAACUAUUAAGCCUCCAUUAGGCUUUGAGGACUUCGAGCAAGCCUUCAGAUCUGCAGCUGAUGGAAAAUGCAGAGGUACUUGGCUUAUCAGAAAAGAAAGCAGCAAAGACAAUUUUAAAGCCUCCAAGGCCUGAAACAGCGCAGCACGUGGGUAAGGAGUACAGUGACUCAUCUCUUCCCUGGAACAGUGUGGACUAAUCCCAGCAGAAUUGCUGAAAUCACCCCGAAGUGAUGUAUUCAAGCACUGAAAAGGUGUGUCUGUAGGUGAAGAAGCAAAUGGCUGUAUCUGCAGCAGACAGCGACCAAGCACUGAACUGUGGAAACGUGAUCCUGAGAUGAGGCAGCUGGUGUUUCUAAGGAUGAACUAAAACCUAAGCAAACCCCUUUGAGGAUUGGAUCUCCGCCUUCCCAGCAAAUGAUCCUUCAGUUUCCAAUACGCCAAAACCUUCCUACUGCUGGAAAAUUUGCAUUGUUGUGUAUUUUUUCAGUUGCAACUGAACUGGUUUGAGUUUUGUCAUCUAAAUGAUCACAAAGGACUUCCUGAACAAAAAGCACGGGCAGCCUGACAUAGUGGAAGUCGCCUAUGACAGAGAGGUGUAACUGUGUGAUCCUUAAGGUCUCUUUCAACCCAAACCAUUCUACAAUUCUGUGAUUUGCUCAGAGCAGCAAUACUGGCUGCUAAUGAAAAUUUAGAGAGAAAAGAAAAAUGAUAGCACCCUUUCUUGCUGGGCUGUUUCCAAAGGCUCUGUAAUCCUCUCUUUUCCCUGCACACUUCUCUCUGCUGGGGUUUUCCCAGACCUGCUGUAUGUUCACUGAUUCAUCCUCUCCAUUGCCGAGACACCUAAAUGUUUCCAAAGGAAGGCAAGAAACCAGGUCAGCAGAGUGGAAGUAACCAAGGAAAAAAAAAUACAUAUUCUUUUAUGGGAAGAAAAGCCAAAGAAAGAAUACAGUAAAGUGGGAUUAAAAAGAAAACAUCCGCAGUGUGAAUUUGAAAACCGACGUCUGACAGCUGCAGUAUAUUCGGUGUCUAACAUCCCAACAACUCAAUAAGAAAAGCAAAGCUGAUGGUACAGGCUCUGAAAAUCCCUCAUCCAUUCUAUUUUGGGGUUACUCAGCACAGCUACUGAAAUACAGAGGCACUCAAUUACACUUGUCCCUUCAGAUUACUGGGGGGCAGUCCUAACUUGAGACUCAAGCUAAGGUGCCAUGGAAAAGAUGUCAAAAUAGACAGUAGAAGGAAAGUGGGUGUCUUCCCUGUUGUCUCCUUGUCCUUUCAUGGCCUGAAGGGAGGCUACCGCUCCAGCCCUACAUCCCUAGGCUGGUCUGCAGGACUUCAAAGGGAAUAUCUCCAAUCUGCAUAGACCAACCAUAGCAGAAACCUACUGAACUGAUGAGGGAGAAUUUCUUUUUUGUUGCUUCCCUUGAGCUCAUGCCUUUGAUUCUUUCCCUGUUCCUGUCCAGAAUUUGUUUUUCAAAGCCCACACAGCUGAUGGUGUGUGGCUCAUGUGCUUAUGGCGGUGAGUUCCUGAUCUCAAAUUGUGGACAUUUGAGGGCAAAAGUCUUUCAGACCUGACUCCACAAGCAUUUAUUGGCUCCUUCGGGACUGUGUUAGUACCCAUGAACACAGCUAGCUGACUCUGCCACCAGCAUCCCAUCUAACUCGGGCAAUCACAGCCAUGGCAAACAAACUUCACACAGAUUGAUUUCACUCUCAUUUUUGUGUCUCAAGCCAACUUGGAAUGUAAACCACGCUGCCCAAGGAAAGCUGGGGAAAUUGCCAGUGAAUGCAGAAAAAAGAAAAGGAAGGAAGAUGUGGAAAGCAGGAGGAGGCUGAUUCUGCACGGCCCAGAAGGUUUGGGUUUGAUCAUCAGGGAAGCCUGCCAAGAGGCAUCCUUUCUGGAAGCUGCUCUAAGUUCUCCCAGGAGCCUUCUCUUCUCCAGGCUGAACAACCCCAGCUCUCUCAUCCUGUCCUUGUAUGGGAACUGCUCCAGCACUCGGAUCAUCUCUGUGGCCUCCUGGACUCACUCCAACAGCUCCAUGUCCUUCCUGUGCUGAGGACUCCAGAACUGAAUGCAGGGCUCCAGGUGGGGUCUCAUGGAAGUGAAGCAGAGGAGCAGAAUCCCAUCCCUCACCCUGCUGGCCAAACUUCUUUUGAUGCAGCCCAGGAUAUGAUUGGCCUUCUGGGUCUGUGAGCACAUGUUGUUGGGUCAUGUCCAGCUUUUUGCCCAUCACUACCGCAAACCACGUCAAAUCAUGUCUUGCUUUUUUUAAAAAAAAACUCUGGGAAAAUUUUCUUUACUAAAAAGGUAAAAAAAUCAAAAUGUUUUUUUUCCAACAAGUGCCACUUCCUAAGAAUCAGAGUGAGACUUUGGAAGAAGGUGAGUGGCUGGGGACUUCUUGGCUUGGCCCUCAGCAGCGCAUGCUCUCCUGGGCUGUGUGUAGGCUCUGUGCAAUUUAGGUCUCUAGGUGAUAGGACAGGAAUAUUAGCCUUUUCUUCCUUCAAAUGUGUGUGAAGAUAAAGGCAAACAUGGUGGGGUGAAUGUCCUGUAGUGGUUGAUAGUGUGAUAAUAGGAGCCCUUGAUGGGAAAAUGCACUCCUAAGAAAAUAUGUUUUGUCUUUCUAUUAUUUGAUGCAAAUAAUUUGCUCUUUCAGAAAACAAAUUGCUCUGUGAUCUGAUCUGAUCUAAGACAGAUAUGUAAGAA
Cuculus canorus (common cuckoo) is the source of this 2743-nucleotide long non-coding RNA. RefSeq lists it as uncharacterized. NCBI's taxonomy places the organism in Eukaryota, Metazoa, Chordata, Aves, Cuculiformes, Cuculidae. The transcript is spliced from 5 exons. The record is from RefSeq and is a predicted model, not a curated record.